CCUACGGGUGGCAGCAGUGAGGAAUAUUGGUCAAUGGGCGCGAGCCUGAACCAGCCAAGCCGCGUGAGGGAAGACGGCCCUACGGGUUGUAAACCUCUUUUGCCGGGGAGCAACGGGCGCCACGUGUGGCGCCCCUGAGAGUACCCGGCGAAAAAGCAUCGGCUAACUCAGUGCCAGCCGCCGCGGUAAUACGGAGGGUGCGAGCGUUAGCCGGAUUUAUUGGGUUUAAGGGGUGCGUAGGCGGUGCGUUAAGUCAGUGGUCAAAUUGAGGGGCUCAACCCCUUCCCGCCAUUGAAACUGGCGCUCUUGAGUGGAAGAGAGGGAUGCGGAAUGCGUGGUGUAGCGGUGAAAUGCAUAGAGAUCACGCAGAACCCCGAUUGCGAAGGCAGCAUGCCGGCUUCCGACUGACGCUGAAGCACGAAAGCGUGGGGAUCGAACAGGAUUAGAUACCCUGGUAGUC
RNAcentral lists this ribosomal RNA (460 nucleotides) under uncultured bacterium. RNAcentral describes it as "partial 16S ribosomal RNA". It matches the Rfam family "Bacterial small subunit ribosomal RNA", at positions 338 to 795 of the family's 1533-position model. The record is from RNAcentral.